UACGACCGCAAGGUUGAAACUCAAAGGAAUUGACGGGGGCCCGCACAAGCGGUGGAGCAUGUGGUUUAAUUCGAAGCAACGCGAAGAACCUUACCAGGUCUUGACAUCCUUUGACCACUCUGGAGACAGAGCUUUCCCUUCGGGGACAAAGUGACAGGUGGUGCAUGGUUGUCGUCAGCUCGUGUCGUGAGAUGUUGGGUUAAGUCCCGCAACGAGCGCAACCCUUGAUUUUAGUUGCCAGCAUUUAGUUGGGCACUCUAAAGUGACUGCCGGUGCAAGCCGGAGGAAGGUGGGGAUGACGUCAAAUCAUCAUGCCCCUUAUGACCUGGGCUACACACGUGCUACAAUGGAUAGUACAAAGGGUCGCGAAGCCGCGAGGUGGAGCUAAUCCCAUAAAACUAUUCUCAGUUCGGAUUGUAGGCUGCAACUCGCCUACAUGAAGCCGGAAUCGCUAGUAAUCGUGGAUCAGCAUGCCACGGUGAAUACGUUCCCGGGCCUUGUACACACCGCCCGUCACACCACGAGAGUUUGUAACACCCGAAGUCGGUAGGGUAACCUUUAUGGAGCCAGCCGCCGAAGGUGGGACAGAUAAUUGGGGUGAAGUCGUAACAAGGUAGCCGUAUCGGAAGGUGCGGCUGGAUCACCUCCUUUCUAAGGAA
This 659-nucleotide ribosomal RNA is filed under the name Listeria monocytogenes. RNAcentral's name for it is "bacterial SSU rRNA". It matches the Rfam family "Bacterial small subunit ribosomal RNA", at positions 881 to 1533 of the family's 1533-position model. The record is from RNAcentral. Lineage: Bacteria; Bacillati; Bacillota; Bacilli; Caryophanales; Listeriaceae.